Non-coding RNA from Theobroma cacao (cacao), 334 nucleotides. Lineage: Eukaryota; Viridiplantae; Streptophyta; Magnoliopsida; Malvales; Malvaceae. The record is from RefSeq and is a predicted model, not a curated record.
CAAAAUUUAGACCUUUUGCAUUUCAUACCAUGCAUUAGUGAUCUAAAUUAGUUAUUUCAAUUUAAGGGCAACGUAGUAAAUUCCUUGAUUUUAUACUGUGUCAAGGUGGUGUGCCCUUCGACAAAGGCAAGGAAAUUACGCUUGGGGAUCAUUAAGCUGAGUACACCCGAAAUCUGAACUUUUGAAACCUGUCGGGUUAGCCUGUAGAUAGCAGACAUCGUCGAGAACUAUAGUUGGCCAUACUACUUCAAAAACUAUAGGUUUACUAUCUUUACUACUUUUGUUCAUUUGUGGGCCCACGUAGCACUGUAAAUUAAAUUUCAUACUUUGGUUU